This 1929-nucleotide long non-coding RNA is filed under the name Triticum aestivum (bread wheat). Its description in RNAcentral is "long non-coding RNA (TAES_LNC018031)". The record is from RNAcentral. Lineage: Eukaryota; Viridiplantae; Streptophyta; Magnoliopsida; Poales; Poaceae.
GAAAAAAUGAUAUAUUUGCUCGCUUGAAUUAUAAAGCUAAACAAUGGAUGAAACAAAAUGUACAUGUAUGUAGUCAAAUGAUUGAACAACGAAGGCACACAUGACUGUUUUAUGCGUGUAUGGGUGCCAGCAGCCCCAUUUGAGCUACCCGCAGGGAAUUGUCCCGUCGGAUACUUGUCUAUUAAUGGGACCAGCAACAAUACUAUGCAGCAAGAACCACCGGAUCAUCUUAGAUCCUUGCCAUCAAAGGAAAAUCGCCCAGCACUUGGAACAGGUGGGCUCUGACCAAAUCUGAAAAUAAGUUUGCCAUCCAGGACAUAUAUGGUAUCACAAUUGUCGACUAUAAUAUGUAACAAAUAGAAGCCAUCAGAAUCACAUUCCCAUGCUCUCUAAAUAAGUACGCAUACUAACAGAAGGUGCAUAUGAGAAAUCAGUGCAAAAAUAAGCUUGUGCUCUCUAAAUAAUUAUGGAGACUAAUAGAAUGUGCAUCUGAUAACUCUAGCAAAAAUAAAAUUCAGAUAUGGGAGCUUCUGUGCCAAUGCGAGCAGCAAGACUCUUACGCAUCAUCGGGAAACUACUUUUGCCAGGCCGGACGUCUAGCUUCUUUGCAGCAGGAGCGGAACCUAGCAAAAAAGAGGAGAUUAAUUCGCAAAAAAGGGAAAAAAUAAAGAAGCCGAUGUGUAUCCUGCAGAUAACUAAUUUGGCAGCAUAUGUAUAGUGCAGAGAAAUAAACACAAAUAAUGUAUGGAUAGUGCACAAACUGAUGAUUUUCUUCUUCUAAACAACAAGCAUUUCUACCUAUUUAUUAUUUAUAGGCAUAAGACGUUAAGUUUAUUUUUAAUUUAUUCAAAGAACAGAGGUUGAUUAGGACAAUUUGAUUGUCAUGCUUGGACUCGAGGAGCAUAUGAAAAUAAACCUAAAUUCAAACGCAAAGAGGUGCUUGUCGAAUCAAAUUUUAGGUGCGUAGCUAAUCAUAUUCUGAAUAUUUUGCUUUUUGAAUAACAGUGAUAAUUCUUACUACCAAUUGCAUAUACCAAUAAUUUUGUAGCGCAGGUUGAGAGUGAAUGACAUGGUUAUGACCCUGCAUCACGUGUUGAGAUGUCAGUCAAGACUCAAGACUCAGGAGUCAUGUUCUCAAGCAUUUUUUACUAAAGCUGAAAAAUAUAGAGGUACUAAUUCUAGGUAUGGGAGAGUCAUGUUCUUCAGCAAGGCUAUAUUUUUACUUCCGAACGUUUCCAUUCGUUAGGAUCUAUCCUCCCAAUAUUGUUCAAGUCUGCCUCCUUGAAUGUCUGUUGGAAUGUAAUUUUAGCAUAAACAUAUGGAUAGCUUUAAUGCUUCUUGCGCAGCAACAUUUGAUCUGGAUGUGUACCUGAUCCACAAUCCGUUUAACAGCAUUAUCAGAAAGAUGUAGGCCUGAUUCAUUCAAGAUUGACAUACCCGGACUAUCAAACUGUAAAGGUAGUGUGGGUGCUAUACUUAGCGGAUAUAAUGGGUUUUGUGUUAUUGUUUUAGUAAACCAAAGAGUAGUACUGACAGAGCUGAAGGAUAAGCAUCUAAAUCGACAAAUUGCAGUGUAUGGCGGCAUGCUCAAAACAUCGUGAAGUAGUCUAUUAAGUUGUCAGGAUUAUGUGCAGAAUAAUUCAGUAAAUAAAAGAUACAUACCUCUUCAUAUUCAUCGAUGCUACUUGUGCCUCGUAGAACCCAUGGUCUGAAUGCAACUGUGAGAAGGAAUACUUGCAGUGUCACACUGAAAAAACAGAGGUAGAAUUAUGUGCAGAAUAAUUCAGUAAAUAAAAGAUACAUACCUCUUCAUAUUCGAGGCUGCUACUUGCACCUCGCAGAACCCAUCUUCUGAACUCUGAAUGCAACUGCGAGAAGUUACACAUGCAGUCACACACUGAAAAAAACAAAGAUAUGAAUCAAAGAAAG